CAUACCGGAGCUUACACAUGCAGUCGAACGGUCUCUUCGGAGAUAGUGGCGGACGGGUGAGUAACGCGUGAGAAUCUAGCUUCAGGUCGGGGACAACCACUGGAAACGGUGGCUAAUACCGGAUGUGCCGAAAGGUGAAAGAUUUAUUGCCUGAAGAUGAGCUCGCGUCUGAUUAGCUAGUUGGUGUGGUAAGAGCGCACCAAGGCGACGAUCAGUAGCUGGUCUGAGAGGAUGAUCAGCCACACUGGGACUGAGACACGGCCCAGACUCCUACGGGAGGCAGCAGUGGGGAAUUUUCCGCAAUGGGCGAAAGCCUGACGGAGCAAUACCGCGUGAGGGAGGAAGGCUCUUGGGUUGUAAACCUCUUUUCUCAGGGAAUAAAAAAAUGAAGGUACCUGAGGAAUAAGCAUCGGCUAACUCCGUGCCAGCAGCCGCGGUAAUACGGAGGAUGCAAGCGUUAUCCGGAAUGAUUGGGCGUAAAGCGUCCGCAGGUGGCACUGUAAGUCUGCUGUUAAAGAGCAAGGCUCAACCUUGUAAAGGCAGUGGAAACUACAGAGCUAGAGUACGUUCGGGGCAGAGGGAAUUCCUGGUGUAGCGGUGAAAUGCGUAGAAAUAC
Molecule: ribosomal RNA, 616 nt
Filed under: Trichormus sp. MACC 266
Lineage: Bacteria; Bacillati; Cyanobacteriota; Cyanophyceae; Nostocales; Nostocaceae
Description: bacterial SSU rRNA
Rfam family: Bacterial small subunit ribosomal RNA
Source: RNAcentral